RNAcentral lists this unclassified non-coding RNA (4596 nucleotides) under Octopus sinensis (East Asian common octopus). RNAcentral describes it as "exocyst complex component 2-like, transcript variant X4". Lineage: Eukaryota; Metazoa; Mollusca; Cephalopoda; Octopoda; Octopodidae. The record is from RNAcentral.
CCCCCAAACGGAAGCGGAAAUAGAGUCGUCGUCGGCGCAGAAGGGAACAAGAAGAAGACGGCUACUUCCUGUGUGAAGGUGUGUCCCUCCUCUUCUCCUGAAUUUGUUUGGAAACCUUCAGCAAUUAUCCGAGAGAAGGUUUGUCAGGUUUUUAAGCAAUUCCGGCCAUGCCCAUCCCUCCACCAUUGGUGACUGGUGUGUCCCCUAAGGAGGGUCCUCCUGGAACAAGGAUCACAAUCAGAGGUGAAAACCUGGGACAUGAUGCUAAAGACCUUGUUGGUUUAAAGAUUUGUGGUGUCGACUGCCUGUUGUCUGCAGAAUGGAAGACUUCGAGUAAAAUUGUGGCCCGUACCGGCCCUGGUAAAGGAAAGGGAGAAAUCAUCGUAAGCACAAGAACUGGUGGUGUUGGAAGUUGUACCGUUGGCUUCCGUGGCUAUUUCAUUCAAAUAGGCCCACUUCAAGAAUCUGCAAUCUGGAUUGAUGAAUCUCAAACAGUUUUGUCAAAUCUUGGUCGUGGUCGAGCGUCUUCUCCAAUGUUAAUCAAAGACAAUGAAGAUCCUCUCGGUCUUUCGGAUGAAGGAACACAACCAAAAUUUAAAGAAGACGAAUUGCUUGAGAUGUUUCCAGAAGCUUCUGGUAAAAUGUCUUUGGAGAAUUUUUCACCAGCUUGGUAUCUCUUGGAGAACCAUCACUCUACAAGUUUUGAUGACCUGAAAGCUGGUCUUGGUUACAUGAAGCGCAAAGCAGCCCAGAGGUCUGAAGGACCAAUUGCAUUUAUGAAGUCAAAUUUAUCCUCAACUAUCGAUUGCUUGUCAAGUUUAUCAGCUAUGAACAGAAUGUUUGCUACUGAUGAUAUUCGUGGUGACUGUAUGAAUUCAUAUGCUGUUCUCUUGAUGCAGGCUAAGUCAUGUGCUGAUGGCUUGUUCCAAGAAGUUCUCGGUCGCAAGGAUAAAGCAGAUUCCACACGCAAUGCUCUCAGUGUUUUACACAGAUUCAAAUUCCUAUUUUACCUUCCUCUUCAUAUUGAACGCAAUAUACAAAGGGGAGACUACAAUCUAGUCAUUAAUGAUUUUGUUCGAGCAAGGUCACUGUUUGCUGAUACACAGGUGCAAAUAUUUAAGAAAGUCUAUAAAGAAGUUGAGGAGCAAAUAAACCUGUUCCGGAAAAUGUUGCAUAACAAACUGUUGGAACUUCCAAACUCUUUGGAGGAGCAAAAGAAACUAAUACGAUACCUGGUGAGUCUUGAAUCCGGAGGUGAACCUGCCUGGGAGUGUCUCAACAACCAACAGAAUUGGUUGAUGACCAUGUUGUCUCAUUGUCGCAAUGAACAUAUUAUAGAAGGUAAAAAACUGAAAAAAGAAGAUUGUACAAUUGAAAGGAAGCAGACUACACCAAUGUCUCCACACCAGACUGGUUAUGGUCGCAAUAAAUCCAGCAAUCUUACUUCAGGACAGGACCAGUCAACAACCACUCGCUUCAAGACACCACAGAAAGUUUUGUUUAUUGAAGAACUCAAUGAUAUUGUCACGGAGAAUUUUCCUGAUUUUUGGAAACUAGGACAUGCAUAUUUUGCCGGCAGUCUCAUUCAUAAAGAAACGGGAGACAAAUCCUUCAAAAUUGACUCAAACAAACAUCUACAGUUCAAGCAAAUGGUGUCGGAUGUCAUAACAUUCUUUGCCAAUCUGGUCCGUGCUGCGUUCUUGCCUGAGUCUCUGGAAAACCUACCGAGGGAAGAACGGGAAAAAUAUGGGAUCUGGCCAGAAAACAAACAGGAGAUCCCUUUUGCCUGGCUGCCACACUGUGUCCGAUGUGUUCGUUCCUGUGUUUCAUCCCUCACCAAUCUUGAUUUGCCGACCGAUUCUACGGAUCUGAUCCAAGAACUGGCAUUUGAUAUGCGAACCCACUGCAUGUUUACCUUACUGAAACAGGCCAUCACAGAUGUGGAAUGUCUUCACACCAAAGAAACCUGGAAUGUCGAAGCUGACGAUGAAUAUGGUGGCACAACCCAGCUUCCGGCGUUAUUUGAAAAUAUUGUCAAUGAAACAAUUCAACAUUUACAUGAAGUUGUUAUCCAGAACAGAACCGGGGAAUAUGAGAUCUUCAGCCAGCAGACAACCCAGAAAGAAGCCACUAUGCUAUGUACCAAACUGCUCCAAGCAUUCUCUGUCUGUCUCCACAAAUUAGCUUUCCAACAGCCUCAGUCAAUUGGAGACACAAAUAAAUCUGAUUCUUUACAAGAUGAUCUACCACCAUUUGAUAAACGUCUAAUUAUUAUGUUGAGUAAUUGCAAUCACGUUUGUAAUCGCGUGAUUCCAAGACUUGUGGAGAAUUUAGAAAAACAUGGCUACGUUGAGAUGGACAAAGGAUUACAGAUAGCUCAAGCAAAAUAUCUGGAACUGGAUAAUAAAUUAUUCGAAGCUUACAUAGAAGAGAAGUCCAAUCCUAUAGUUGGAGCUAUGGAACAAAAUAUGUAUCGUGGCAGCUUUGACUGGAAUACCUGCACCAAACCUGUUGCUGUGAGGAGUUACUUGAAGGAAGUCUUAAUGGGAAUGAUUGAAGUUCAUGCUGAAGUUUACGCAGUUUUUCCAUCUUUUGUCCCACGAGUGAUGUGCAAGGUUGUUGAAGCUGUUGCUGAAGAACUCUCUCGUCUGAUGCUGUGUAGUACUGGUUUCAAUUCCAACGGAGCUCUUCAGGCUCGUCUUGAACUGAUUGCUCUGCAAGAUGCCGUCUCCGCUUACCGAAAUGAUGCUGCCAUAAAACAUUUCCAAGAAGCUUUGGCCAUUCUCACACCAAUCGGCUCAAGUAAAAAAACCGAAGAAAUACUUCUGACCGACUUCAAAUCAACGAUGCGAUUCCACCUUAUGUGCUUCUAUGCCGACAGUGUAGUAGAAACUCCUGCCUAACAGAUCCAUCGUGGAAAUUUCCUCACCACACAGGGGUGCUAAUGGUUGUGCUUAUAUCAUUUUUUUAAAAACAUUAUUAAUAUUAUCAUUAUUUUGCUCGUAUUCCAUGUACCAGUCACAUAUUGGGGUCACUAUCAUCGAUUUAUACAUCCCACCGCCUCCCCAGCAAUGUAUGGUCCAGGGCUGAAGUAAGAAAUCUUUAUUAUUAUUAUUAUUAAGCUUAAGGUGGUGUGCUGGCAGAAUCGUUACUGUGCCGAGCAAAACGCUCCGUGGAAUUUCAUUUGACUUUACGUUUUGAGUUCAGAUUCUGCCGAGGCUGGUUUUUGCCUUUCAGCCUUAAUGAAAUAUGUACCAGUCAUAUACUGGGGGAUCGAUGUAAUCAAAUUACCUCCUACCCCUAAAUUACAGCCUUAUGCUAAAAUUUGAAACCAUUAUUAUUACUAAUUAAUAUUUCAAGGUUGAAGUUACUCUUCACGAAGACAAAGAAAGAAAGAAAGAAGAAGAGUGAGACCGUUAUUGGUAAUAAACAGAGAUUGACUCUCUCAUAUUUUGAACUUGUAAAAGACACACGGAGUCUUGAAAUAUUCUUCAUUCAUUUUCAUUUUAAUAAACUGAGUCAAUCUCUAUUUAUUACCAAUAACAGUCGUGCUCUUCUUCUUCUUAUUAUUAUUAUUAUUACUAUUAUUAUUACUAAGGCAGCGAGCUGGCAGAAUUGUUAGCAUGCUGGGUGAAAUGCUUAGUGGUAUUUCACCUGUCUUUAUGUUCUGAGUUCAAAUUCCGCCAAAGUUGACCUUGCUUUUCAUCCUUUCGGGCUCAAUAAAUUAAGUUCCAGUGAAACACUGGGGUCAGUGUAAACAACUAGUCCCUUUCCCCCCCAAAUUACAGGCCUUGUACCUAUAAUAAAGGAUUAUUAUUAUCAUUAUUAUUAAGGCAGUGAGAGCUGGCAGAGUCGUUAGCACACCAGGCAAAAUGCUUAGCAACAUUCUGUCUGUCUUUCCAUUCUGAGCCCAAAUUCUACUGAGAUAGACUUUGCCUUUCAUCAUUUUGGAGUUGAUGAAAUUAGUACCAGUCAAGUACUGGAGGGUCAUUGUAAUCAACUUCACUCUUCCCUUAAAAAUUGCUGGCCCUGUGCCGAACUUUGAAGCCAUUGUUAUUAUCAAGCUAGUAAUACGUUCAUUUGAUUAGCAGGAAUGUUAUUUCGAGGUUUGGCGACAACAAGUCUUAGAAUUCCUUCUGAAUACAGAAUGGUACUUUUCCUGCAUGUCAGCAAUGUGAUCCUUAAUUCCAAUUUCUAUCAGUCUCAAUUGCCACAGGAAUCAUUGUCUUAGUCUUCCACAGUCUUUACAGCUCUCUUGCUCAAUCCUGAUAUAUUUCUCAGGGCUCCCUGCCCCAAAUUUAUGUGGUAUCCACUGUUAUCAUAUGGUAUUGCAAAGUCUACGAUCUUAAACCAUUUCUGGCCCUCUCUCUGCAAUAAUAUGGUCAGUCUUCAUGGAGAAACCUCAUAAACUUCUGUGAUGCUUAUUCUCCCUCAUAGCUUCCGGUUCCUCAUUAUUUCAAAACCGUUUCACUCAACUAACAACCCAAUGGACUCUUUAACCUACGCAGUCUUGCCUGUGCUUUCUGAAUAAAAAAAUAUUUAUUAUAAUUAUGAUUAUUAUUAUUAUUAUUUUAGGUGUGGCUGUGUGGUAAGAAG